AGAAGACCCUAUAGAGUUUNAUAUUUAAUUUAUAUUUUUUAUAGAAAUUUAUUAUAAAAUAUAAUAUUUUAUUGGGGUGAUAUAUAAAUUUAAAAAACUUUAAUUUUUAAAAACAUUAAUUUAUGAUUAAUUGAUCCAUUUUAAUGAUUAAAAGAUUAAAUUACCUUAGGGAUAACAGCGUAAUUUUUUUUAAGAGUUCUAAUCGAAAAAAAAGAUUGCGACCUCGAUGUUGGAUUAAAAUUUAAAUUUGGUGUAGAAGCUAAAUAGUUAGGUCUGUUCGACCUUUAAAAUUUUACAUGAUCUGAGUUUAAAUCGGCGUGAGCCAGGUUGGUUUCUAUCUUAAAAAUUUUAAAAUAUUUUAGUACGAAAGGACCAAAUAUUUAUAAUAUUUAUUAUAUUUUGAAUAC
This 407-nucleotide ribosomal RNA is filed under the name Limnebius extraneus. RNAcentral's name for it is "partial 16S ribosomal RNA". The stretch from base 171 to 329 matches the Rfam family "Bacterial large subunit ribosomal RNA", at positions 2473 to 2632 of the family's 2925-position model. Lineage: Eukaryota; Metazoa; Arthropoda; Insecta; Coleoptera; Hydraenidae. The record is from RNAcentral.